AUUGAACGCUGGCGGCAUGCUUUACACAUGCAAGUCGAACGGUAACAGGGAGCUUGCUCCGCUGACGAGUGGCGAACGGGUGAGUAAUGCAUCGGAACGUACCCAGUCGUGGGGGAUAACGUAGCGAAAGUUACGCUAAUACCGCAUACGUCCUGAGGGAGAAAGCGGGGGACCGUAAGGCCUCGCGCGAUUGGAGCGGCCGAUGUCGGAUUAGCUAGUUGGUAGGGUAAAGGCCUACCAAGGCGACGAUCCGUAGCGGGUCUGAGAGGAUGAUCCGCCACACUGGGACUGAGACACGGCCCAGACUCCUACGGGAGGCAGCAGUGGGGAAUUUUGGACAAUGGGCGGAAAGACCUGAUCCAGCCAUGCCGCGUGUGUGAAGAAGGCCUCGUGUAGUA
Molecule: ribosomal RNA, 398 nt
Filed under: uncultured bacterium
Lineage: Bacteria
Description: bacterial SSU rRNA
Rfam family: Bacterial small subunit ribosomal RNA
Source: RNAcentral